Acanthosepion pharaonis is the source of this 100-nucleotide non-coding RNA. The record is from the annotation of a GenBank genome assembly. Lineage: Eukaryota; Metazoa; Mollusca; Cephalopoda; Sepiida; Sepiidae.
CAUGUUGAAACUUUGGUUUCCGUAAGAUUACCGAAGUUAAGCGACGUUGAGCCUGGUCAGUAACUAGAUGGGUGACCGCUUGGGCAUACCAGAUGCUAUA